AGAGUUUGAUCAUGGCUCAGGAUGAACGCUAGCUACAGGCUUAACACAUGCAAGUCGAGGGGAAACGACAUCGAAAGCUUGCUUUUGAUGGGCGUCGACCGGCGCACGGGUGAGUAACGCGUAUCCAACCUGCCCACCACUUGGGGAUAACCUUGCGAAAGUAAGACUAAUACCCAAUGACGUCUCUAGAAGACAUCUGAAAGAGAUUAAAGAUUUAUCGGUGAUGGAUGGGGAUGCGUCUGAUUAGCUUGGUUGGCGGGGCAACGGGCCCACCAAGGCUACGAUCAGUAGGGGUUCUGAGAGGAAGGUCCCCCACAUUGGAACUGAGACACCGGUCCAAACUUCGUACGGGAGGCA
RNAcentral lists this ribosomal RNA (357 nucleotides) under uncultured bacterium. RNAcentral describes it as "bacterial SSU rRNA". It matches the Rfam family "Bacterial small subunit ribosomal RNA", at positions 8 to 350 of the family's 1533-position model. The record is from RNAcentral.